CUGGAAUAGCUUCGUUUAUACAAGUCAUUGUCUUGAAUCUUCAUCAUCGUGCAGAUCAACAAAUGUCUGAAUGGGUUGUUUUUAAUGUGCUGCAGCCACUAGCAACAAUUACUUUUAUCGAUGUGCCAGGAUUUACAGCUUGCAGAUGUAUAUCUAAACAGGUAAGACAUUGAUCAUUUAAAUGAAGGCCGAAAGAUACCAGAGGCACAGCCAACGCAUAGAUCGAAAAUAAACUGACAACGCCAUGGCUGAAAAAGAAAAUAAAAACAAACAGACAAAUAAUAGAGCACAACACACAGCACAGAAAACUAAAUACUAAGCAACACGAACACAAAAUGGAUGUGAUCUCAGGUGCUCCGCAAAGGUAAGCAAAUCCAUUCCUGCUCCACAUGUGGCACCCGUCAUGUUGCUCAUGUUAUUACAAACUCGGUAGAUCGUCUAAUUCGGUAGGUCAUAUUCGUGAAAAGGGAAGGUUAUUCAGUAACGGUCAAACAAGUCGUGAUGGCGUCCGUAAAAUUUACAAAAGGGUGAUUUCAACUUCACCAUUUGGAACUCUUGGUUUAAUAGCGUCCUUUUGAGCAGCAACCCUCUAUCAAGGAAAUCACGAUAGGACACACAAGCCCGGGAAUAUCGUAUCAAUUGUGAGAUAUAUACUCCGUGUGUCGGCGCUGCUGGAAUGUUGCUACAUAAAAAUGGAAAGUUCACAAUUGGGAAGCUAAAAUCAUCUCUUUUGUCGUAAAGCAUUGUUUUCAACGACCCUAAAUGUCAAUUUCUAGAUGUAAGUCAAGAUUUGAGGCAGAAUUAACUGUAUCUGUUGUAUUCUUUAUCUCUAGUUUGAUGCUACAUAGUCACCAAAUUUGGAAUUAUUUAGUCAGAGAACAUCAUCUAUAUAGCGGAAAGUAAAGUUAAAUGAAAUUGCUAACAUCUUAUCUUUCUUCCCAAGAAGUUCCUGUAUGAAGUCAACCUCAUAAUAAUAAAGAAACAAGUCGGCAAGAAGAGGGGCACAAUUGGUUCCUAUUGGAAUGCCGACAGUCUGUUGAAAAAAAAAAUCCUCAUAACGUUACAAAUAUGUUGCCUAUCGAGAAAUCAAGCAUCUUGAUGAUGUCAGUUUCAGAGAAUGUUUUGUUUGUAUCAGAGUGAUUUUUUACAAAGUAGGAUUUAUAGAUACUUGUAUUUACGUUGAAGUUUCUUUUUUUUGAAAAAAAACAAUACCAACUCUUUCAAUAUGUCCCUUUGUUUGGAAUAGAGAAUACUUGUGUAAAGUUUAGAAAGGUCAAAUGUUUUAAUACUAUUGCAAGAUAAAAGAGUCUUGAAUUGUAUACACUCUAAAAGAUCUUUGGAAUUUUUGAGUAUCCACAUCUGAUUCACGCCACCUCUAGAAUACUAGUAGUCAGUUUCACAAUUAGUUUGAAGUCCGGCUUUGGUUGCUAAUAAAAUAGAUGUUAAUUAUUUAGAAAGAGGUUUCGUGGAGCCCUUGGAAGACCAAGCAAUAUACCGUUGUUUAUAAGGACACUUACAUAGUUUAGGUAUCCAAUACAGUGAUGGAAGAUCCAGUACUUCGUCUUUGGUAGAAAUUCCAAAGGUGAAAAGAUCAGACCUAUGAUUAUCCAGGAUUUCCUCUUUUGAAAGUGUCGUGAGGGUAUAUGUUGAAUAUCCAAGUGAAUUGUAAUUAUCUAAUUCACUCAUUACAGUUUAUGUAAUGUGAUUUACGCACAAAAACGAUGUUGUUUGGAACUUUAUCUGCGGGGACAACUACAAAGUUGUCAUGGAGGUAGGACAAGUGUUUUGCAACAUUUGAGUCUUUAAAGAAUGGAUAUUGAGAAACCCAUUGAGUUUCUUAAUUCUGAUUUGUAUCAAAGACGUCACAGCCUUAAUCAAUUCAGAAAGAGUAUCUACGUGUUCUUUCUCGCGUUUAUCCCAUUGCCUGGCAUAAUCCUCAACUGAAUCUAUCAGUAUUUUAAAGUUGUAUUUCCAAUUGAUGGAUUUCGACUCACGAUAUUUCGGACCUUUGGAUAACACAUUGCGCAGGGAAGUGUUAUUGACAAUGUUGAGGUCACCGGUAAUAACGAAGGCAACCGGAUUGUAUGUGAAUUUGGAACUAGCAUAGGUACAAUCAGGAGGUUUAGACUUGAAGUCGUCAAUAUUGAGAUCCUGCAAAACGUGUUUGUAUUGAAAUUGAAAAUUUAUUUGCAAUUAGACUGGGAACUGAGGAAGAAAGAAUAGUUAAUUCACUUCACUGUGGCAUACAAUUUUUAAAGAUAAGCAAAUUUGGAUUAUUUUUCUGCAUGAAAUACCUUCCGACAUUUCUGAGCUACUGGUAUGGUAAAAUUGGCGUCAAGGGGUCUUUGUCCAAAACCAUACGAAAAGCAGGACAUGAUGAUUUAUCAUUAGUGUCACACUUACCGUUUCUUAACUGUGAUCUUGGAUUGUCUUUUAAAAAGUAAUAAUCUCAUUGCUUGUAUGUUUUAUUAUGAUCAGAAUUAGAAUUGUAUGAAAAUGUCAAUAUUAAUAACACAUAGCUGAGAGGGGGAUAUAGCAGAUUGUUACCCCGAGAAAACAUUGUCUAAAGCGGCGAAGCCAAGGUUGACAAUGCUUUUUCGAGGGUUACCAAUCUGCUCCAUCACCCUCUCAGCUAUGUGUUAUUUAAUUUAUUAUACUGAAUGUCCUAUCAUUAUAGUCUUUUACAGAUUAAUUUUAUUUGAAAAGUAUUUUCCAUGACGUCAUGUACAUAACAACGUUACGGGUAUUAGAAAAAACAACAAAAGUUAAGCAAGAUGUUUUAUUUUUUUAUUUUGACAGUCAAAUAACAAAAUCGGAGCCAAAACGUAGAAAUUAAACAUUGUAUUUUAAAAUUACUUGAUGUAAAUUCAAUUCAUUGUCCUUUGAAUUAUCGAUUUCUAAUCGGUCUAGACGAGAGGGUAACAUUCAAAAAAAUUGUUACCCUCUCAGCCAUGUGAUAGAGUAAAUUAACACCCUCGUAUCAGCCAAUCAAAAUAUGGCAUUUUAACGUGAAGUAUAAUGAUACCACGUACAUGAUGUACACACCUUCUGAAUUGAAACUGACCACACGAAUGGUACACGUACGCAGAAUGAAUGAUGAACGGACACUGAAUGCACGAUGAAUGAUUCAUACAUGAUGAGUGUUGAUCGUUACACGGACGAUGCAUGCACGUUGAGUGAUGACGGCGUUACACGGACCAUGACUACAUGUCGAGCGAAGAGCGUUACACGGACGAUGAAUGCACGUUGAGUGUCGAUUGUUACACGUACGAUGAACACACGUUGAGUGUUGAUUGUUACACGGAAGAUGAAUGCACGGUCAGUGAUGAGUGUUACACGGACAAUUACUACACGUUGAGUGUUGAUCGUUACACGGACGAUGAAUGUACGUUGAGUGAUAAACGUUACACGGACGAUGAAUGCACGUUAAGUGAUGAACGUUACACGGACGUUGAAUUCAUGCACGUUGAGUGUUGAUCGUUACACGAACGAUGAAUGCACAUUGAGUGAUGAACGUUACACGGACGAUGAAUGCACGUUGAGUGACGAACGUUACACGGACGAUGAAUGUACGUUGAGUGUUGAUCUUUACACGGACGAUGAAUGCACGUUGAGUGUUGAUUGUUACACGUACGAUGAACACACGUUGAGUGUUGAUAGUUACACGGUCGAUGAAAGCACGUUGAGUGUUGAUUGUUACACGUACGACGAAUGCACGUUGAGUGUUGAUCGUAACACGGACGAUGCAUGCACGAUGAGUGAUGAGCUUUACACGGACCAUGACUAAACGUUGAGUAAAGAGCGUGACACGGACGAUUUAUAUCAUUAGUAGCUCCAAGUGGUACAUAUAUGGAUAUUGCAGUCCAAUAGUGAAUACAUAUAUAUUAUAUAAUAAUUUUUUUUUUUAUAUUUGUUUUAUUUAACUAGUUUUUCUAUACGAACUUGAUUUUGAAUUAACCGUGACAACAUAUUUACCAGAAUGAAAGUGAUAGUGAUCGCGCUAAAUGUCACAUGUUUUCCAAGUUUAAGUAUGGCAAAAUGUUUGAUGUACACACACUUUUGAUAAAUAAAUGUCAAAACCUAUUUUUUUCUGGCGGAAUGUUCAGAGAAGAAAAAUGAAGUUAAGCUGUUUACAAUGUAUUUAUUUUGUGUAUUUUCAGGAUGAGAACAUGAUUAAGCAGAAGAUAUUUAUCCCAGAAGAUGCCCAGCUAUGGAUAUUAUUAGCAAAGUGUGUCGAUAGACUUGGUCUGAUGCUGUUUUUGUUGACAUUUUCAGUUGGUACAGGAAUAAUUUUUGCAUCUUUUUAAAUUAGGGAGCACACGGGUUGAUGAAAAAAAAAUUGCAUAUUCUGAUCUCUCAAGUUAACUAUCAUAGACCAGUGUAUAUAGUUGAUGCAUUAUUCAUUUUAUCACUGAUUUUAUUGUAUGCAAUGUCGUGUGAUCUCAUUUUGAAUCCUC
This 4457-nucleotide long non-coding RNA is filed under the name Mytilus galloprovincialis (Mediterranean mussel). Lineage: Eukaryota; Metazoa; Mollusca; Bivalvia; Mytilida; Mytilidae. The record is from RNAcentral.